ACAUACUUAUUGUUGCUUCGGCGGGAUCGCCCCGGCGCCCUCGGGCCAGGACCCCAGGCGCCUGCCGGAGCACCCACACUCUUGUCUUCAUGAGCAUCCUUCUGAGUGACACAAGCAAAUAGAUUAAAACUUUCAACAACGGAUCUCUUGGUUCUGGCAUCGAUGAAGAACGCAGCGAAAUGCGAUAAGUAAUGUGAAUUGCAGAAUUCCGUGAAUCAUCGAAUCUUUGAACGCACAUUGGGGCCCGGCCCAGUAUUGUGGCGGGCAUGCCUGUUCGAGCGUCAUUUCAACCCUCAGCCCCGGCUGGUGUGGGAUCGGCGCCUCGGCGCGCGGCCGAAAUCUAGUGGCGUCUCGCUGUAGCUCUCUGCGUAGUACACACUCGCACCGGACGCAGCUGGCCAGCGUAACCCCCAUUUGAGGUGACUCGAUCGGUAGA
RNAcentral lists this ribosomal RNA (436 nucleotides) under Ascomycota sp. R173. RNAcentral's name for it is "eukaryotic LSU rRNA". The stretch from base 128 to 284 matches the Rfam family "5.8S ribosomal RNA". The record is from RNAcentral. Lineage: Eukaryota; Fungi; Ascomycota.